UUGAGUUUGAUGAUGGCUCUGAAUGAACGCUGUCCAAAUGCUUGACACAUGCUAAUCGAACGUCAUCUUUUUUAAGAUGAAGUGGUGUACAGGUGAGUAAUGGGUGAAUCAAUAACCUUAAAGUAAGGACUAAGAUACCUUAUAUUAACAAAGAACUAAUUCGCUUUAAGACUUUGUUUGCAUCCCGGAUUGCUAUAGUUAAAGUAAUUUCUUAACUAGCUUACAUACGAUCCGUAGUCGUGACUGGGAGGUUUAUCGACCACAGUGUGGCCUGAACAAAGCCCACGGUUAACUACAGCAGUGAGGAAUCUUGGUCAAUAGCCUAACGGCUGAACCAGCAACUUGGAGGAAUGUAUAUCGACUCUGUCGAAUAAAGUUCUAGUUAAGUUAUGAUAAUGACAUUUCUUAACUAUGUGUCUUGACCAAAUCACGUGCCAGCAGUCGCGGUAAUACGUGGAAGACUAGUGUUAUUCAUCUUUAACAGGUUUAAAGGGUACCUAGACGGUAAAUCAAGCCCCGAAAGGGUACUAAUUUACUAGAGUUUAAUAAGAGAGGGGGAGUACUGAUGAGUGGAGAGAUGAAAUUUAAUGAUACCAUUAGGAACAGACAAGGGCGAAAGCGACCUUUUACAUAAAAACUGACGUUGAGGGACGAAGGCUUUAGUCGUGAACAGGAUUAGAUACCCAAGUAAUUAAAGCAGACAAUGAUGAAUGUCAUAGAUUAGUAACCCAUUAUUAUUAUUAAUUAUUAAUCUAAAAAAAAUGAAAUCAAGGAAAUGAAAGUAAUAGAUUAGUAGGCUAUUUUUAUUAAUCUAUAAAUUAAAGUAAUAGAUUAGAUUAGGCCAUUAUGAUUAAUCUAUAAAUGAAAGUGUAAGCAUUCCACCUCAAGAGUAAUGUGGCAACGCAGAAACUGAAAUCAUUAGACCGUUUCUGAAACCAGUAGUGAAGUAUGUUGUUUAAUUAGAUAAUCCGCAAAAGACCUCACCACAAUUUGUAUAUUAUUAUUUUUUAAUAAUACAAGCGUUGCACGGCUGUCUUCAGUUAAUGUCGUGAGAUUAGGUUAGUUCCAUUAAAUUAACGUAAACCCUUGCUUUAUUUAUAUUAUAUAUAAAGUAGAUCACCGCUAUAUUGGAUAUGAUAACAGGGACUAAGACAAGUCAUCAUGGCCUGAAUAUUGUGGGCGAUAGACGUGCCACAUAAUCGGAGACAAAGGGAUGCGAAAUUGUGAAAUAUAGCUAAUCCCACAAAAUCCGACAAAAUAUGGAUUAUAGUCUGUAAUUCGACUGUAUGAAAAAGGAAUUACUAGUAAUCGUGAAUAAGAACGUCACGGUGGAUUUUAUCUCAGAUAGGUACUAACUACUCGUCAGGCGCUGGAUGGGGUUCGUGCAAUAAGUUUGGUUGUAAUAUGCUUUUAAUUUAGAUAAUAAGUUUUAAAAAUGUAUAGAAACGAUCUUCGUAUGCGUGUCUUCUACUGGUGUUAAGUCGAAAUAUGGUUCGUGUAGUGGAAGUUGCACGGGAUUAAUUAAAAUUU
Molecule: ribosomal RNA, 1530 nt
Filed under: Pertusaria propinqua
Lineage: Eukaryota; Fungi; Ascomycota; Lecanoromycetes; Pertusariales; Pertusariaceae
Description: SSU rRNA
Rfam family: Bacterial small subunit ribosomal RNA
Source: RNAcentral